CUCAGGAUGAACGCUAGCGGCAGGCCUAACACAUGCAAGUCGAGGGGCAGCAUUUCCAGUUUACUGGAAGAUGGCGACCGGCGCACGGGUGCGCAACGCGUAUGGAACCUGCCCUUUACCGGGGAAUAGCCCAGAGAAAUUUGGAUUAAUGCCCCAUGGUAUAUCUGUCCGGCAUCGGAUAGGUAUUAAAGGUUACGGUAAGGGAUGGCCAUGCGUACCAUUAGUUAGUUGGUGGGGUAACGGCCCACCAAGGCGACGAUGGUUAGGGGCCCUGAGAGGGGGAUCCCCCACACUGGUACUGAGACACGGACCAGACUCCUACGGGAGGCAGCAGUGAGGAAUAUUGGACAAUGGGCGGAAGCCUGAUCCAGCCAUGCCGCGUGCAGGACGACUGCCCUAUGGGUUGUAAACUGCUUUUAUACGGGAAGAACAACCGCCACGUGUGGCGCUCUGACGGUACCGUAAGAAUAAGGACCGGCUAACUCCGUGCCAGCAGCCGCGGUAAUACGGAGGGUCCGAGCGUUAUCCGGAAUUAUUGGGUUUAAAGGGUCCGUAGGCGGAUCGGUAAGUCAGGGGUGAAAUGGUGCGGCUCAACCGUAGCACUGCCUUUGAUACUGUCGAUCUUGAGUUAUGGUGAAGUUGCCGGAAUAUGUAGUGUAGCGGUGAAAUGCAUAGAUAUUACAUAGAACACCGAUUGCGAAGGCAGGUGACUAACCAUAAACUGACGCUGAUGGACGAAAGCGUGGGGAGCGAACAGGAUUAGAUACCCUGGUAGUCCACGCCGUAAACGAUGGAUACUAGCUGUCCGGUACCUUGAGUACUGGGCGGCCAAGCGAAAGUGAUAAGUAUCCCACCUGGGGAGUACGUUCGCAAGAAUGAAACUCAAAGGAAUUGACGGGGGCCCGCACAAGCGGUGGAGCAUGUGGUUUAAUUCGAUGAUACGCGAGGAACCUUACCAGGGCUUAAAUGUAGAUUGACAGGUUUAGAGAUAGACUUUCCUUCGGGCAAUUUACAAGGUGCUGCAUGGUUGUCGUCAGCUCGUGCCGUGAGGUGUCAGGUUAAGUCCUAUAACGAGCGCAACCCCUGCCGUUAGUUGCCAGCAUUUAAAGAUGGGGACUCUA
RNAcentral lists this ribosomal RNA (1121 nucleotides) under Flavobacteriaceae bacterium DN50_6C1. RNAcentral's name for it is "bacterial SSU rRNA". It matches the Rfam family "Bacterial small subunit ribosomal RNA", at positions 23 to 1142 of the family's 1533-position model. Lineage: Bacteria; Pseudomonadati; Bacteroidota; Flavobacteriia; Flavobacteriales; Flavobacteriaceae. The record is from RNAcentral.